RNAcentral lists this ribosomal RNA (354 nucleotides) under uncultured bacterium. RNAcentral describes it as "bacterial SSU rRNA". It matches the Rfam family "Bacterial small subunit ribosomal RNA", at positions 1 to 334 of the family's 1533-position model. The record is from RNAcentral.
CUACGUAGCUCAGAGUUGAUCCUGGCUCAGGGUGAACGCUGGCGGCGUGCCUAACACAUGCAAGUCGAACGAAGCACUGUUAACGGAGAUUCGUCGAAGUUAACUUUGACUUAGUGGCGGACGGGUGAGUAAUGUAUGAGCAACCUGCCUUUCAGAGGGGGACAACAGUUGGAAACGACUGCUAAUACCGCAUAAUGUACCGUGAGGGCAUCCUCGUGGUACCAAAGGAGCAAUCCGCUGAAAGAUGGGCUCAUAUCUGAUUAGCUAGUUGGUGAGGUAACGGCUCACCAAGGCUGCGAUCAGUAGCCGGACUGAGAGGUUGAACGGCCACAUUGGGACUGAGAUACGGCCCAG